CGUGAGCCCGUACGGGCGUGCCCGGACUCGGAAAAGAGCCUUUGGAGCCCAGCAGUUGGAGCAACAGCGUUUGUGGAGAGAAGCCGGCCUUGUCGGCCCCACAGCAGCUCCUGAUGAGCAUGGCUCGUUACUGAAGACAAGAAAUGCCUGAUCUGCUGCCAAGUGCAGUUCUGCAAAGGAGGUUCCCACCAGAAUCAGCUUUAGAAGCUCACAAAAAAAGGGUGAAUAACAAGCCACAGUGGG
This is a long non-coding RNA of Apus apus (common swift), 243 nucleotides long. RefSeq lists it as uncharacterized. The record is from RefSeq and is a predicted model, not a curated record. The transcript is spliced from 3 exons. NCBI's taxonomy places the organism in Eukaryota, Metazoa, Chordata, Aves, Apodiformes, Apodidae.